This is a long non-coding RNA of Eriocheir sinensis (Chinese mitten crab), 765 nucleotides long. RefSeq lists it as uncharacterized. NCBI's taxonomy places the organism in Eukaryota, Metazoa, Arthropoda, Malacostraca, Decapoda, Varunidae. The transcript is spliced from 4 exons. The record is from RefSeq and is a predicted model, not a curated record.
UGAUUUAUACCAUAAGGUGCUGGCUAUCAUGUGUUUGAAGAUACCCUAAACUUAACCUAACCUAACCUAACAAAACCCCAAACAGUUACUAUAGGUCUUGACUCAGAAAACUCAUAUAUGCUUCCUUAGUUAUGAGACUUUCUAUACAACAAAGUGAGGUCAUUCUUUGUUGAUUUAUACCAUAAGGUGCUGGCUAUCAUGUGUUUGAAGAUACCCUAAACUUAACCUAACCUAACCUAACAAAACCCCAAACAGUUACUAUAGGUCUUGACUCAGAAAACUCAUAUAUGCUUCCUUAGUUAUGAGACUUUCUAUACAACAAAGUGAGGUCAUUCUUUGUUGAUUUAUACCAUAAGGUGCUGGCUAUCAUGUGUUUGAAGAUACCCUAAACUUAACCUAACCUAACCUAACAAAACCCCAAACAGUUACUAUAGGUCUUGACUCAGAAAAUUCAUAUAUGGUUCCUUACUAAUGAGACUUUCUAUAUAACAAAGUGAGGAUCUUCUUUGUUGAUUUAUACCAUAAGGUGCUGGCUAUCAUGUGUUUGAAGAUACCCUAAACUUAACCUAACCUAACCUAACAAAACUCCAAACAGUUACUAUAGGUCUUGACUCAGAAAACUCAUAUAUGCUUCCUUAGUUAUGAGACUUUCUAUACAACAAAGUGAGGUCAUUCUUUGUUGAUUUAUACCAUAAGGUGCUGGCUAUCAUGUGUUUGAAGAUACCCUAAACUUAACCUAACCUAACCUAACAAAACCCCAAACAG